ACCGGCAAGUAGUGAUAACCAGACAUUGAGUUACCGGCCCGGAGAGAUAUAUUUUGAAAGCAGAGGAAUAACCUGGCGGUGGUAUUCUAUAAACCGGCCAACCUACCCAAAACCCCCAAAAAAAGAGGAUCGUCGUCGGUAAUCGUAACAGGAAUCGGUUCUGGUAACGGUGGGCGAACUAAAGUUUCAAACGACCUGCCAACUAGCAAUGUUCCUGUUGUUGAUUGGCUACACUUACAUGAUUUGUCGCUGGCUGAUUCGCAAUUUAUGAAAUCACACUCCAUAGAUAUCCUCAUUGGUGUAGAUAAAAUGGACAAAUUUAUCAUACCGGAAGUUCGGAAGGGCCCUCCAGGUUUGCCUAUAGUGCAAAACACAGUUUUUGGCGGGACACUAUUCGGUCAGGUGGAUGAAUCUCUACACGCUCUUCGGAAUACGCUAACCAUCCACAGCGAUAUUCAGUUAACGGAUACGCUAUGCAAAUGGUGGGAGUUAGAAGAAGCUCCUGGAAAAAGUUCCUAACGACGGAAGAGAAAUAUUGCGAAGAUCACUUCGACUCCAACCACCAUCGUGCCUCAGAUGGCAGUUUUAUUGUAAAACUCCCGCUAAAAUCAAACAUACCGUUAUGUGAAUCACGUAUGUUACAACAAAAUUAAGGGUAGUGUUAAAUGCAUCCGCGAAAACAGCAACAGGCUACUCCUUAAUCAACGCCUGAUGGUUGGGCCUCAGUUACAACCUACACUGUUCUCAAUCCUAAUAAGGUUCAGAAUGCAUCGGUACCGCUCUUAAUGCAGAUGUGGCGAAAAUAUAUAGACAAGUAUACGUUUUAAAGGCGCGCACUGAUCUCCAAUGUCAUGUGUGGCGCUCCGACCCACAACUUCCUAUUAAAUAUUAUCGCAUAUUGCGGGUAACGUACGGUGUAUCUACAGCAUCACAUCUAGCUGCAAAGCCCCUUCAACAGUCCGCUUAGGAAGCUGUAGGACGUUAUGACAAGGCUGCAUCUGUUAUCCUUUGAGAUUUUUAUAUGGAUGAUUUGCUCACAGGCUCAUUUAACAUAGAAGAACUUCAACGCGACGUAUUGAGUUAAGGCAGUGGGCUUCCAGAACUAACAGCGUCCAUAUCUAACGCGUCAAAGGAAAUGUCUCACUAUAUCGCCGAAGACAAGGAAGUGCCUGCCCUGAGUCUAAUUUGGCACACAGAAAGAGACUAUUUAAUGUUUGCAGUAAAUCUAAACAAGCCAGCACCAUAUCUUUCCAAAAGAGCAUACUUAUCCGAUUCAAGUGUUCUAUUCGAUCCGCUAGGACUUCUAUCUCCUUGCACAAUAAAGUAAAAAAUUUGGUUUCAGGAUUUUUGGCGUUCUAACGUCGAUUGGGAUGAUCCAGUUCCGAUGCCUAUAGCGGGUGAAUGGUGUCAUUAUCGAGAACGGUUAAAGUUGUUUUCAGACUAAAAGCUUAAAAGGUAGACAGGUAUUUGUGCGAAGGGUGCAUGCACGCAGUUGCAUCUAUUUGCAGACUCAUCAGAGUGGGCAUUCGUCGCUGUUAUUUAUGCUCGCACUAUACAGCCAUAUGGAGAAAUAAUUGUCGCUUUGGUUAGUUCUAAGACCAAGGUAGCACCGCUGAAAGUUACUACACUUCCUCAUAUUCAAUGCUUUGCGCUGCAAACCUCGCAGCUAAGCUAGCGAAAACGAUUAUGGACAACUUGCCUAACCAAACUUAUCCGAUGUUCGCGUCGCAGACACUCAAGAAAUUUUAAGGGCUGAAUCGUGGAAUCACAUACGUUCCGAAAUUAAUCCCGCUGACUGCGCUUCCAGAGGUUUAACUCCGCUUGAACUGAUGGAGCAUCGGUUAAAGUGGAAUGGUCCGGAAUUCCUUAGCAGUUCAGAGGAAUUUUGGAGGCUUAAGUCUCCAUCGACGCACACAAAAAACUUGGAACUUCAAGCAAGUAAACUAUCCGCCCACGUUGUGAGCUCGAAAGAACACUGGUCAGUAUUCACCAACCUCUCAUCAUAAUAAAGGCUGAAACGAAUUAUCGCUUAUGUCCUACGGCUUAUCAGCAACUUCAGAGCUGCUAUAAUACAUAGUUAUGUAAAGGCAACCAGGCCCCUUUUGUGGAAUGAGAUUACUAACGCUGAAGACGCUCUGAUAAGGUAUACGCAAAAUUACUAUUUUUCUAAUGAAAUUUCCCAUUGCAGAGAUAAA
Rhagoletis zephyria (snowberry fruit fly) is the source of this 2195-nucleotide long non-coding RNA. RefSeq lists it as uncharacterized. Lineage: Eukaryota; Metazoa; Arthropoda; Insecta; Diptera; Tephritidae. The record is from RefSeq and is a predicted model, not a curated record.